This 68-nucleotide transfer RNA is filed under the name Marmota monax (woodchuck). RNAcentral's name for it is "tRNA.Ala". The record is from RNAcentral. Lineage: Eukaryota; Metazoa; Chordata; Mammalia; Rodentia; Sciuridae.
GGAUUGUGGCUCAGUGGUAGAGUACUCGCCUAGCACUUGCGAUGCCCUGGGUUCGAUCCUCAGCACCA